GAUGAACGCUGGCGGCGUGCCUAAUACAUGCAAGUCGAGCGAACAGACGAGGAGCUUGCUCCUCUGACGUUAGCGGCGGACGGGUGAGUAACACGUGUAUAACCUACCUAUAAGACUGGGAUAAUUUCGGCAAACAGGAGCUAAUACCGGAUAAUAUAUUGAACCGCAUGGUUCACUAGUGAAAGACGGUUGUUGUGUCACUAAUAGCUGGAUCCGCGCCGCAUUAGCUAGUUGGUAAGGUAACGGCUUACCAAGGCAACUACGCGUAGACGACCUGAGAGGGUGGUCGGCCACACGGGAAGUGAGACACGGUCCAGACUCCUACGGUAGGCAGCAGUAGGGAAUCUUCCGCAAGGGGGGAGAGCCGGACGUAGCAACGCCGCGUGAGGGAUGAAGGUGCUCUGAUCGGAAAGCUCUGUUAGUAGGGAAGAACAAAUGUGUAAGUAACUAUGCACGUAUUGACGGUACCGGGUCAAAAAGCCCCGGCUAACUACGUG
This 497-nucleotide ribosomal RNA is filed under the name uncultured bacterium. Its description in RNAcentral is "partial 16S ribosomal RNA". It matches the Rfam family "Bacterial small subunit ribosomal RNA", at positions 28 to 507 of the family's 1533-position model. The record is from RNAcentral.